Molecule: ribosomal RNA, 240 nt
Filed under: uncultured bacterium
Lineage: Bacteria
Description: partial 16S ribosomal RNA
Rfam family: Bacterial small subunit ribosomal RNA
Source: RNAcentral
GAUCCUGGCUCAGGAUGAACGCUGGCGGCGUGCUUAACACAUGCAAGUCGAGCGAAGCACUUUGGUUUGAUUCUUCGGAUGAAGACCUUUGUGACUGAGCGGCGGACGGGUGAGGUAACGCGUGGGUAACCUGCCUCAUACAGGGGGAUAACAGUUAGAAAUGACUGCUAAUACCGCAUAAGACCACGGUACCGCAUGGUACAGUGGUAAAAACUCCGAUGGUAUGAGAUGGACCCGCGU